This 252-nucleotide ribosomal RNA is filed under the name uncultured bacterium. Its description in RNAcentral is "partial 16S ribosomal RNA". It matches the Rfam family "Bacterial small subunit ribosomal RNA", at positions 524 to 776 of the family's 1533-position model. The record is from RNAcentral.
UACGUAGGUGGCUAGCGUUAUCCGGAAUUACUGGGCGUAAAGGGUGCGUAGGUGGUUUCUUAAGUCAGAGGUGAAAGGCUACGGCUCAACCGUAGUAAGCCAUUGAAACUGGGAAACUUGAGUGCAGGAGAGGAGAGUGGAAUUCCUAGUGUAGCGGUGAAAUGCGUAGAUAUUAGGAGGAACACCAGUUGCGAAGGCGGCUCUCUGGACUGUAACUGACACUGAGGCACGAAAGCGUAGGGAGCAAACAGG